This 253-nucleotide ribosomal RNA is filed under the name uncultured bacterium. RNAcentral describes it as "partial 16S ribosomal RNA". It matches the Rfam family "Bacterial small subunit ribosomal RNA", at positions 524 to 776 of the family's 1533-position model. The record is from RNAcentral.
UACGUAGGGUCCGAGCGUUGUCCGGAAUUACUGGGCGUAAAGAGCUCGUAGGUGGUUUGUCGCGUUGUUCGUGAAAACUCACAGCUCAACUGUGGGCGUGCGGGCGAUACGGGCAGACUUGAGUACUGCAGGGGAGACUGGAAUUCCUGGUGUAGCGGUGGAAUGCGCAGAUAUCAGGAGGAACACCGGUGGCGAAGGCGGGUCUCUGGGCCAACACUGACGCUCAGGCACGAAAGCGUGGGGAGCAAACAGG